This 175-nucleotide ribosomal RNA is filed under the name uncultured Cortinarius. Its description in RNAcentral is "partial 28S ribosomal RNA". It matches the Rfam family "Eukaryotic large subunit ribosomal RNA", at positions 1 to 170 of the family's 3401-position model. Lineage: Eukaryota; Fungi; Basidiomycota; Agaricomycetes; Agaricales; Cortinariaceae. The record is from RNAcentral.
UGUGACCUCAAAUCAGGUAGGACUACCCGCUGAACUUAAGCAUAUCAAUAAGCGGAGGAAAAGAAACUAACAAGGAUUCCCCUAGUAACUGCGAGUGAAGCGGGAAAAGCUCAAAUUUAAAAUCUGGCGGUCUUAUGGCUGUCCGAGUUGUAAUCUAGAGAAGUGUUAUCCGCGC